RNAcentral lists this ribosomal RNA (495 nucleotides) under uncultured bacterium. RNAcentral's name for it is "partial 16S ribosomal RNA". It matches the Rfam family "Bacterial small subunit ribosomal RNA", at positions 28 to 507 of the family's 1533-position model. The record is from RNAcentral.
GACGAACGCUGGCGGCGUGCCUAAUACAUGCAAGUCGAACGCUGAAGGGGGAGCUUUCUUCUCUGGAUGAUUUGCGAACGGGUGAGUAACGCGUAGGGAACCUGCCUGGUAGCGGGGGAUAACUAUUGGAAACGAUAGCUAAUACCGCAUAAGAGUAGAUGUUGCAUGACAUUUACUUAAAAAAUGCAGUUUCAUCACUACCUGAUGGUCCUGCGUUGUAUUAGCUAGUUGUUGGAGUAACGGCUCAACAAAGCGACGAUACAUAGUCGGCCUGGGAGGGGGAUCGGGCAACCCGGGACUGAGACACGGCCCAGGACCCUAAGGGAGGCAGCAGUAGGGAAACUUUGCGCAUGGACCGAAGUCUGACCGGGCAACGGCGCGUGAGUGAAGAAGGUUCUCGGAUCGUAAAGCUCUGGUGUAAGAGGAGAAAGAGAGUGAGAGUGAAAAGUGCACACUGUGACGGUAUCUAAUCAGAAAGGGACGGCUAACUACGUG